AGUGAACGCUGGCGGUAGGCCUAACACAUGCAAGUCGAACGGCAGCACAGUAAGAGCUUGCUCUUACGGGUGGCGAGUGGCGGACGGGUGAGGAAUACAUCGGAAUCUACUUUUUCGUGGGGGAUAACGUAGGGAAACUUACGCUACUACCGCAUACGACCUACGGGUGAAAGCAGGGGAUCUUCGGACCUUGCGCGAUUGAAUGAGCCGAUGUCGGAUUAGCUAGUUGGCGGGGUAAAGGCCCACCAAGGCGACGAUCCGUAGCUGGUCUGAGAGGAUGAUCAGCCACACUGGAACUGAGACACGGUCCAGACUCCUACGGGAGGCAGCAGUGGGGAAUAUUGGACAUUGGGCGCAAGCCUGAUCCAGCCAUACCGCGUGGGUGAAGAAGGCCUUCGGGUUGUAAAGCCCUUUUGUUGGGAAAGAAAAGCAGCAGGUUAAUACCCCGCUGUUCUGACGGUACCCAAAGAAUAAGCACCGGCUAACUUCGUG
RNAcentral lists this ribosomal RNA (492 nucleotides) under uncultured bacterium. Its description in RNAcentral is "partial 16S ribosomal RNA". It matches the Rfam family "Bacterial small subunit ribosomal RNA", at positions 29 to 507 of the family's 1533-position model. The record is from RNAcentral.